Molecule: long non-coding RNA, 433 nt
Filed under: Brachypodium distachyon (stiff brome)
Lineage: Eukaryota; Viridiplantae; Streptophyta; Magnoliopsida; Poales; Poaceae
Description: long non-coding RNA (BDIS_LNC004473)
Source: RNAcentral
AUGGUACAAAAUUGAGAUGUUUUAUGGGAGAAAUUUAGGAAUAAUCCACUGCAAUCGUUUAUACCAAACAACUCAUUUGGGCUUCUAGUGUUUUGAAUUUGGAGUGGAUAAAAUUCUAAAAACACUAGCAAAGCACUAAAGUCAAACGAGACCCGAAUAGUGUAACGUUAACAUCAAUGAUAAACAUCAUCGUGCUUCCUAAUAUUAUUCCGCAUAUGCUUCUUCAGAACCAAAUCGCUCGACAAAUAUGUCUUCCAGGAGUUAAAAAAUACCCCUCAAAAAGAGAAGAAAAAAACACAUGACACCUCUACCUUAGCUGGCCUUUGAACUUCGGGCUUCCUAGUUUCUCUGUACCCGAACAUCUGUCUACGGAUCAACAUCUGUGAACCAUGACUUAACACGUGCACCAUCUUUGUUGUAAUUUAUUGGCCCA